Molecule: unclassified non-coding RNA, 216 nt
Filed under: Hevea brasiliensis (rubber tree)
Lineage: Eukaryota; Viridiplantae; Streptophyta; Magnoliopsida; Malpighiales; Euphorbiaceae
Source: RNAcentral
ACCGGUCACCGACGACUGCGCGAUCGACUUCACCGGGCGGAAAUCGGUGCCGGUAUAGUAUUCGGUGAUCCAGAUGAUGAGACCGGUCACCACCAAACCAACGACGCCGCACUCGAACAGGGCGAGGCCGGUGUACUUCACGCCAGCAAGCGGACCGAAGCCGAUCAACUGGUGAAUGACAAUGGCCACACCGAUCAACGACAGAACGCCGGUGGC